UACGGAGGUCCCAAGCGUUGUUCGGAUUCACUGGGCGUAAAGGGUGCGUAGGUGGUGAGGUAAGUUCGAUGUGAAAUCUCCGGGCUCAACCCGGAAAAGGCAUUGAAUACUAUCUUGCUCGAGGUUUGGAGGGGGGACUGGAAUUCUCGGUGUAGCAGUGAAAUGCGUAGAUAUCGAGAGGAACACCGGUGGCGAAGGCGAGUCCCUGGACAACACCUGACACUGAGGCACGAAAGCUAGGGGAGCAAACAGGAUUAGAAACCCAGUAGUCC
This 272-nucleotide ribosomal RNA is filed under the name uncultured bacterium. RNAcentral's name for it is "partial 16S ribosomal RNA". It matches the Rfam family "Bacterial small subunit ribosomal RNA", at positions 524 to 796 of the family's 1533-position model. The record is from RNAcentral.